Molecule: ribosomal RNA, 339 nt
Filed under: uncultured Mycoplasmatota bacterium
Lineage: Bacteria; Bacillati; Mycoplasmatota
Description: bacterial SSU rRNA
Rfam family: Bacterial small subunit ribosomal RNA
Source: RNAcentral
GAUGAACGCUGGUGGUAUGCUUAAUACAUGCAAGUCGUACGAGGUACCUUUGGUACUUAGUGGCAAACGGGUGAGUAACACGUAUUCAACCUGCCUAUUAGUGGGGGAUAACAUCUGGAAACAGUUAUUAAUCCCGCAUAAUUAUUCAAUUAGGAUAACUUAAUAAAUUAAAAAGAAACUUUAGUUCGCUAGUAGAGGGGAUGCGUCGUAUUAGUUAGUUGGUGAGGUAACGGCUCACCAAGACGAUGAUACGUAGUCGGCCUGAGAGGGUGUUCGGCCACAUUGGGACUGAGACACGGCCCAGACUCCUACGGGAGGCAGCAGUAAGGAAUAUUCCAC